RNAcentral lists this ribosomal RNA (61 nucleotides) under Ochrobactrum teleogrylli. RNAcentral describes it as "Ochrobactrum sp. LCB8 partial 23S ribosomal RNA". Lineage: Bacteria; Pseudomonadati; Pseudomonadota; Alphaproteobacteria; Hyphomicrobiales; Brucellaceae. The record is from RNAcentral.
GUGCGGCAACGCAUGCAGCUUACCGGUACUAAUAGCUCGAUCGACUUGAUCACUCCCAUUU